Molecule: long non-coding RNA, 357 nt
Filed under: Malus domestica (apple)
Lineage: Eukaryota; Viridiplantae; Streptophyta; Magnoliopsida; Rosales; Rosaceae
Description: long non-coding RNA (MDOM_LNC010570)
Source: RNAcentral
GGCUUGGGCAUAGGCACGGCACAAGAUGUUCCUUCUCUUUCCUUCCUUGCAAGCAGCGGCACUAGAGGUUUUGGAUGGUUUUGGGUGGUUUUUAUGGUGUAGAAUGGAUGGGGAAUGGUAUGGAAAGGUUUAGGGUAAGUGUGGAGGAGUGUUUGAGGGUUGGAGGGUGGUGGAGAACUAGGCAAAGAGGGUGGAAGAAGGUGGAUUGGCUGUUAUGUUUUCUAGGCACUAGAAUGGUGUUUUUGGGGUGUUUUGCUUCCUAGGGUGUGUAUGGACGAAUUGUUGUGAUAAAAUGAUGAAUAUGGGGGAUUGUCCUUUGGCCAAGGGGUGUAAACAUGUAUUUAUAGGCCCCAAAAA